Molecule: ribosomal RNA, 253 nt
Filed under: uncultured bacterium
Lineage: Bacteria
Description: partial 16S ribosomal RNA
Rfam family: Bacterial small subunit ribosomal RNA
Source: RNAcentral
UACGUAGGGUGCGAGCGUUGUCCGGAAUUACUGGGCGUAAAGCGCGCGUAGGCGGCUUUGUAAGUUAGAGGUGAAAGCCCGGGGCUCAACCCCGGAACUGCCUUUAAAACUGCAUCGCUUGAAUCCGGGAGAGGUGAGUGGAAUUCCGAGUGUAGAGGUGAAAUUCGUAGAUAUUCGCAAGAACACCGGUGGCGAAGGCGGAUCUCUGGGCCAUUACUGACGCUGAGGAGCGAAAGCGUGGGGAGCGAACAGG